This 604-nucleotide ribosomal RNA is filed under the name uncultured bacterium. RNAcentral's name for it is "bacterial SSU rRNA". It matches the Rfam family "Bacterial small subunit ribosomal RNA", at positions 338 to 951 of the family's 1533-position model. The record is from RNAcentral.
CCUACGGGAGGCAGCAGUGGGGAAUAUUGCACAAUGGGCGCAAGCCUGAUGCAGCGACGCCGCGUGAGGGAUGACGGCCUUCGGGUUGUAAACCUCUUUCAGUAGGGAAGAAGCGAAAGUGACGGUACCUGCAGAAGAAGCACCGGCUAACUACGUGCCAGCAGCCGCGGUAAUACGUAGGGUGCGAGCGUUAUCCGGAAUUAUUGGGCGUAAAGAGCUCGUAGGCGGUUUGUCGCGUCUGUCGUGAAAGUCCGGGGCUUAACCCCGGAUCUGCGGUGGGUACGGGCAGACUAGAGUGCAGUAGGGGAGACUGGAAUUCCUGGUGUAGCGGUGGAAUGCGCAGAUAUCAGGAGGAACACCGAUGGCGAAGGCAGGUCUCUGGGCUGUAACUGACGCUGAGGAGCGAAAGCAUGGGGAGCGAACAGGAUUAGAUACCCUGGUAGUCCAUGCCGUAAACGUUGGGCACUAGGUGUGGGGACCAUUCCACGGUUUCCGCGCCGCAGCUAACGCAUUAAGUGCCCCGCCUGGGGAGGACGGCCGCGAGACUAAACUACAAGAAGUAGACGGCGNGAGACGUGCCGACGGACGACGACGAGGGAGUAGG